GCGGCACGCCUAACACAUGCAAGUCGAACGAAGUAGCAAUACUUAGUGGCAGACGGGUGAGUAACAUGUAGGUAUCUGCCCUUUGGCCUGGAAUAACACGAGGAAACUUGUGCUAAUACCGGAUAAGUCUUUACGGAGAAAGCUUUAUGCACCAUUGGAUGAGCCUGCACUUGAUUAGUUUGUUGGUGGGGUAAUGGCCUACCAAGACUGUGAUCAAUAGCUGAUUUGAGAGGAUGAUCAGCCACAUUGGGANUGAGACACGGCCCAAACUCCUACGGGAGGCAGCAGUGGGGAAUCUUGCACAAUGGAGGAAACUCUGAUGCAGCGAUGCCGCGUGAGUGAAGAAGGCCUUUGGGUUGUAAAGCUCUUUCGUCGGGGAAGAAAAUGACUGUACCCGAAUAAGAAGGUCCGGCUAACUUCGUGCCAGCAGCCGCGGUAAUACGAAGGGACCUAGCGUAGUUCGGAAUUACUGGGCUUAAAGAGUUCGUAGGUGGUUGAAAAAGUUGGUGGUGAAAUCCCAGAGCUUAACUCUGGAACUGCCAUCAAAACUUUUCAGCUAGAGUAUGAUAGAGGAAAGCAGAAUUUCUAGUGUAGAGGUGAAAUUCGUAGAUAUUAGAAAGAAUACCAAUUGCGAAGGCAGCUUUCUGGAUCAUUACUGACACUGAGGAACGAAAGCAUGGGUAGCGAAGAGGAUUAGAUACCCUCGUAGUCCAUGCCGUAAACGAUGUGUGUUAGACGUUGGAAAUUUAUUUUCAGUGUCGCAGGAAAACCGAUAAACACACCGCCUGGGGAGUACGACCGCAAGGUUAAAACUCAAAUGAAUUGACGGGGACCCGCACAAGUAGUGGAGCAUGUGGUUUAAUUCGAAGAUACGCGCAGAACCUUACCAACACUUGACAUGUUCGUCGCGACUCUAAGAGAUUAGAGUUUUCGGUUCGGCCGGACGAAACACAGGUGCUGCAUGGCUGUCGUCAGCUCGUGUCGUGAGAUGUUGGGUUAAGUCCCGCAACGAGCGCAACCCUCACUUUUAGUUGCCAUCAUUAAGUUGGGCACUCUGAAAGAACUGCCAGUGAUAAGCUGGAGGAAGGUGGGGAUGACGUCAAGUCCUCAUGGCCCUUACGUGUUGGGCUACACACGUGCUACAAUGGUAUCUACAACAGGAAGCAAAACUGCGAAGUUAAGCAAAUCCCUAAAAGAUACCUCAGUUCGGAUUGCACUCUGCAACUCGAGUGCAUGAAGCUGGAAUUACUAGUAAUCGUGGAUCAGCGUGCCACGGUGAAUGCGUUCCCGGGUCUUGUACACACCGCCCGUCACACCAUGGGAGUUGGUUCUACCUUAAG
Molecule: ribosomal RNA, 1340 nt
Filed under: alpha proteobacterium IMCC10428
Lineage: Bacteria; Pseudomonadati; Pseudomonadota; Alphaproteobacteria
Description: 16S ribosomal RNA
Rfam family: Bacterial small subunit ribosomal RNA
Source: RNAcentral